AGAGUUUGAUCCUGGCUUAGAACGAACGCUGGCGGCAUGGAUUAGGCAUGCAAGUCGAACGAAGUAGCAAUACUUAGUGGCGCAAGGGUGAGGAACGCGUGAGUGACCUACCCGCAAGUUUGGAACAGCUCCUGGAAACGGGAAUUAAUACCGGAUGUGAUCAAUGGACUGCAUGGUUUAUUGAUUAAAGCAGUAAUGCGCUUGCGGAUGGGCUCGCGUCCCAUUAGCUAGUUGGUGAGGUAACGGCCCACCAAGGCCAUGAUGGGUAGCUGGUCUGAGAGGACGACCAGCCACACUGGGACUGAGAACUGCCCAGACUCCUACGGGAGGCUGCAGUCGAGAAUUUUGGGCAAUGGACGAAAGUCCUGACCCAGCAAUGCCGCGUGCGGGAUGAAGGUCUUCGGAUUGUAAACCGCUGUUUGGAGGGACGAAAAUUGACGGUACUUCCAGAGAAAGCCACGGCUAACUACGUGCCAGCCGCGGC
This 484-nucleotide ribosomal RNA is filed under the name uncultured bacterium. RNAcentral describes it as "bacterial SSU rRNA". It matches the Rfam family "Bacterial small subunit ribosomal RNA", at positions 8 to 518 of the family's 1533-position model. The record is from RNAcentral.